GACGAACGCUGGCGGCGUGCCUAAUACAUGCAAGUAGAACGCUGAAGGAGGAGCUUGCUUCUCCGGAUGAGUUGCGAACGGGUGAGUAACGCGUAGGUAACCUGCCUGGUAGCGGGGGAUAACUAUUGGAAACGAUAGCUAAUACCGCAUAAGAGUAGAUGUUGCAUGACAUUUACUUAAAAGGUGCAAUUGCAUCACUACCAGAUGGACCUGCGUUGUAUUAGCUAGUUGGUGAGGUAACGGCUCACCAAGGCGACGAUACAUAGCCGACCUGAGAGGGUGAUCGGCCACACUGGGACUGAGACACGGCCCAGACUCCUACGGGAGGCAGCAGUAGGGAAUCUUCGGCAAUGGACGGAAGUCUGACCGAGCAACGCCGCGUGAGUGAAGAAGGUUUUCGGAUCGUAAAGCUCUGUUAUAAGAGAAGAACGAGUGUGAGAGUGGAAAAGUUCACACUGUGACGG
RNAcentral lists this ribosomal RNA (464 nucleotides) under Streptococcus mitis. RNAcentral describes it as "bacterial SSU rRNA". It matches the Rfam family "Bacterial small subunit ribosomal RNA", at positions 28 to 475 of the family's 1533-position model. Lineage: Bacteria; Bacillati; Bacillota; Bacilli; Lactobacillales; Streptococcaceae. The record is from RNAcentral.